Cebus imitator (Panamanian white-faced capuchin) is the source of this 157-nucleotide small nuclear RNA. Its record names the gene U1. It matches the Rfam family "U1 spliceosomal RNA". Rfam says of the family: U1 is a small nuclear RNA (snRNA) component of the spliceosome (involved in pre-mRNA splicing). The record is from Ensembl. NCBI's taxonomy places the organism in Eukaryota, Metazoa, Chordata, Mammalia, Primates, Cebidae.
AUACUUACCUGGCAGGGGAGAUACCAUGAUCACCAAGGUGGUUUUCCCAGGUCGAGGCUUAUCCAUUGCACUCCGGAUAUGCUGACCCUGUGAUUUCCCCAAAUGUGGGAAACUCAGCUGCAUAAUUUGUGGGGAACUGCGUUUGCACUGUCCCCUG